GACGAACGCUGGCGGCGUGCUUAACACAUGCAAGUCGAACGGAAAGGCCCUGCUUUUGUGGGGUGCUCGAGUGGCGAACGGGUGAGUAACACGUGAGUAACCUGCCCUUGACUUUGGGAUAACUUCAGGAAACUGGGGCUAAUACCGGAUAGGAGCUCCUGCUGCAUGGUGGGGGUUGGAAAGUUUCGGCGGUUGGGGAUGGAUUCGCGGCUUAUCAGCUGGUUGGUGGGGUAGUGGCUUACCAAGGCUUUGACGGGUAGCCGGCCUGAGAGGGUGACCGGCCACAUUGGGACUGAGAUACGGACCAGACGCCUACGGGCGGCAGCAGUGGGAAAUAUUGCACAAUGGGCGGAAGCCUGAUGCAGCAAUGCCGCGUGCGGGAUGAUGGCUUUCGGGUUGUAAACCGCUUUCGCCUGUGACGAAGAGUGAGUGACGGUAAUGGGUAAAGAAGCACCGGCUAACUACGUG
This 468-nucleotide ribosomal RNA is filed under the name uncultured bacterium. RNAcentral describes it as "partial 16S ribosomal RNA". It matches the Rfam family "Bacterial small subunit ribosomal RNA", at positions 28 to 507 of the family's 1533-position model. The record is from RNAcentral.